Molecule: ribosomal RNA, 267 nt
Filed under: uncultured bacterium
Lineage: Bacteria
Description: partial 16S ribosomal RNA
Rfam family: Bacterial small subunit ribosomal RNA
Source: RNAcentral
UACGUAGGGUGCAGGCGUUAAUCGGAAUUACUGGGCGUAAAGCGUGCGCAGGCGGUUUUGCUAAGACAGGUGUGAAAUCCCCCGGGCUUAACCUGGGAACUGCGCUUGUAACUGGCAAGCUAGAGUGUGGCAGAGGGGGGGUGGAAUUCCACGUGUAGCAGUGAAAUGCGUAGAGAUGUGGAGGAACACCGAUGGCGAAGGCAGCCCCCUGGGCUAACACUGACGCUCAUGCACGAAAGCGUGGGGACAAACAGGAUUAGAGUACCC